UACGUAGGGUCCGAGCGUUGUCCGGAAUUAUUGGGCGUAAAGAGCUCGUAGGCGGUUUGUCGCGUCUGCUGUGAAAUCCCGAGGCUCAACCUCGGGCCUGCAGUGGGUACGGGCAGACUUGAGUGCGGUAGGGGAGAAUGGAAUUCCUGGUGUAGCGGUGGAAUGCGCAGAUAUCAGGAGGAACAUCAGUGGCGAAGGCGGCUGCCUGGCCCAAUACUGACACUCAGGUGCGACAGCGUGGGGAGCAAACAGG
RNAcentral lists this ribosomal RNA (253 nucleotides) under uncultured bacterium. Its description in RNAcentral is "partial 16S ribosomal RNA". It matches the Rfam family "Bacterial small subunit ribosomal RNA", at positions 524 to 776 of the family's 1533-position model. The record is from RNAcentral.